GGGACUGUGGCUCAGUGGUAGAGUGCUCGCUUAGCAUGCAUGAGGCCCUGGGUUCAAACCUCAGCACCA
This 69-nucleotide transfer RNA is filed under the name Ictidomys tridecemlineatus (thirteen-lined ground squirrel). RNAcentral's name for it is "Spermophilus tridecemlineatus (thirteen-lined ground squirrel) tRNA". It matches the Rfam family "tRNA". From Rfam's summary of the family: Transfer RNA (tRNA) molecules are approximately 80 nucleotides in length. Their secondary structure includes four short double-helical elements and three loops (D, anti-codon, and T loops). Lineage: Eukaryota; Metazoa; Chordata; Mammalia; Rodentia; Sciuridae. The record is from Rfam by way of RNAcentral.